GCCUUAGUGGUGUAGUAGUAACAUCUGUAGCUGCUAGCUAUAGACCCUAGGUUUGAAUCCUAGCUAAAGCG
Molecule: non-coding RNA, 71 nt
Organism: Xylaria cubensis
Lineage: Eukaryota; Fungi; Ascomycota; Sordariomycetes; Xylariales; Xylariaceae
Source: the annotation of a GenBank genome assembly